Molecule: ribosomal RNA, 497 nt
Filed under: uncultured bacterium
Lineage: Bacteria
Description: partial 16S ribosomal RNA
Rfam family: Bacterial small subunit ribosomal RNA
Source: RNAcentral
GACGAACGCUGGCGGCGUGCCUAAUACAUGCAAGUUGAGCGCUGAAGGUUGGUACUUGUACCAACUGGAUGAGCAGCGAACGGGUGAGUAACGCGUGGGGAAUCUGCCUUUGAGCGGGGGACAACAUUUGGAAACGAAUGCUAAUACCGCAUAAAAACUUUAAACACAAGUUUUAAGUUUGAAAGAUGCAAUUGCAUCACUCAAAGAUGAUCCCGCGUUGUAUUAGCUAGUUGGUGAGGUAAAGGCUCACCAAGGCGAUGAUACAUAGCCGACCUGAGAGGGUGAUCGGCCACAUUGGGACUGUGACACGGCCCAAACUCCUACGGGAGGCAGCAGUAGGGAAUCUUCGGCAAUGGACGAAAGUCUGACCGAGCAACGCCGCGUGAGGGAAGAAGGUUGUCGGAUCGUAAAACUCGGUUGGUAGAGAAGAACGUUGGUGAGAGUGGAAAGCUCAUCAAGUAACGGUAACUACCCAGAAAGGGACGGCUAACUACGUG